UUGGGGCAAACUCACAACUCCGAGCUCAAGAGUCUCAUGCUAUAGUGAACCAGCCAGGCACCCCAGGACCACCCAGAAAUUCUGGGAUCUCAGCAGUGUUCCAGAUUAAGGAUAGGAUUGGGGUUAGGACAUCACAUUUUUCAGGGACCAUUUUCCUUUUUCUUAACUAAAUCUGGAGAUAAGAGAUUUA
Long non-coding RNA from Lontra canadensis (Northern American river otter), 190 nucleotides. RefSeq lists it as uncharacterized. The record is from RefSeq and is a predicted model, not a curated record. NCBI's taxonomy places the organism in Eukaryota, Metazoa, Chordata, Mammalia, Carnivora, Mustelidae. The transcript has 3 exons.